RNAcentral lists this ribosomal RNA (301 nucleotides) under uncultured bacterium. RNAcentral describes it as "partial 16S ribosomal RNA". It matches the Rfam family "Bacterial small subunit ribosomal RNA", at positions 509 to 807 of the family's 1533-position model. The record is from RNAcentral.
CAGUCGCCGCGGUAAUACGAAGGGUGCAGGCGUUACUCGGAAUUACUGGGCGUAAAGCGUGCGUAGGUGGUUGUUUAAGUCUGUUGUGAAAGCCCUGGGCUCAACCUGGGAAUUGCAGUGGAUACUGGGCGACUAGUGUGUGGUAGAGGGUAGUGGAAUUCCCGGUGUAGCAGUGAAACGCGUAGAGAUCGGGAGGAACAUCCAUGGCGAAGGCAGCUACCUGGACCAACACUGACACUGAGGCACGAAAGCGUGGGGAGCAAACAGGAUUAGAUACCCGUGUAGUCCCUGUCUCUUAUAC